Molecule: ribosomal RNA, 265 nt
Filed under: uncultured archaeon
Lineage: Archaea
Description: partial 16S ribosomal RNA
Rfam family: Archaeal small subunit ribosomal RNA
Source: RNAcentral
ACACGACUACAUUAGAUACCCGGGUAGUCCCAGCUGUAAACUAUGUGCGUUAGGUGUCGGCCACGGUGCGACCGUUGUCGGUGCCGUAGGGAAGCCGUGAAGCGAGCCACCUGGGAAGUACGGCCGCAAGGCUGAAACUUAAAGGAAUUGGCGGGGGAGCACAACAACGGGUGGAGCUUGCGGUUUAAUCGGAUUCAACGCCGGAAAUCUUACUGGGACCGACAGCAACAUGAAGGCCAAGCUGAAGACUUUGCCGGAUUAGCUG